This 154-nucleotide ribosomal RNA is filed under the name uncultured Mycoplasma sp. RNAcentral describes it as "partial 16S ribosomal RNA". It matches the Rfam family "Bacterial small subunit ribosomal RNA", at positions 248 to 404 of the family's 1533-position model. Lineage: Bacteria; Bacillati; Mycoplasmatota; Mollicutes; Mycoplasmatales; Mycoplasmataceae. The record is from RNAcentral.
GUUGGCGGGGUAAAGCCCCCAAGGCUAUGAUAGAUAGCUGGUCUUAGCGGAUGAACACCACAAUGGGAUUGAGAUACGGCCCAUAUUCCUACGGGAAGCAGCAGUAGGGAAUCUUCCCCAAUGGACGAAAGUCUGAUGGAGCAAAUCCAUGAGG